Oncorhynchus tshawytscha (Chinook salmon) is the source of this 1026-nucleotide long non-coding RNA. Lineage: Eukaryota; Metazoa; Chordata; Actinopteri; Salmoniformes; Salmonidae. The record is from Ensembl.
GUGGAUCACAGUGUAACAUAAUAUCAUGGGAUGACCAUAACAGAGGUGGAUCACAGUGUAACAUAAUAUCAUGGGAUGACCAUAACAGAGGUGGAUCACAGUGUAACAUAAUAUCAUGGGAUGACCAUAACAGAGGUGGAUCAUAAAUCAUCACAGUGUAAUAGACUAGUCUGUGACUUGUGGUUGUCUCACCUAGUUAUAUUAAGUGGAAUGCACUGACUGUAAGUCUCUCUGCAUAAGAGCGUCUGCUAAAUGACUAAAAUGUAAAAUGGCUUGUUAACAGAAGGAUCAUAUAGGAUAAUGUCUGUGUGUCAAAUGGCACCCUAUUCCCUAUAUAAUGCACUGCUUCUUUCGAACAGAGUCAAAUAAUGCAUGUAGGGAACAAGUUACCAUUUUGGACACAUCCCAUAUCUUCCACGCUUCUCAAAGGCCCAUUAGUAGAGGAUGGUAUGAAGGGAAUAACAUGGCAGCCAGCCACACAUCAGUGAUAAUGACCAUAAGUCCUGUGAUUUAUAGUCUUAUAGUGUGGAUGUGGCCGGAAGCAAAGACUGAUCUCUCCAAGGAACUACAGAUGUUAUGAAUUUGAAGCUUGACUUACAGUGUGUAUAAGACUGUUAGUUAAUCAUUGUUGAGCUUGCCGGUUGGUGUUGGUGAUGCUGACAAUAGCAGCAGCACUGCAUGAAGCCUGGAGCUGUGAGGUGAAGUCUCUGCGGUGCAAUGCGCAAGGCCAUCUGUUUUGUCUUGGCUGAAACUUGGCUUUUUGACAACAACAAAAAAUCUUGAAACAGGAACCACGUCUUGCGUGAUAAGUCGGUCACAGGAGACUGGAUUAAGAGGCUCCAACGGCUUUGUUGACAGUUUGGAAUAAAAACAUCGGGGGAUUCAUGCUUAAUGGUCCAGCAAUGGAAUUAUCAUGUGAUCAUUCGUCUUUCUAGUGAGGAUGAUCAGGCCACCCCUGAAAGUCAGAGUUCAUUCAACCCCUUCAAGUGAGUGUUUCUCUCUUACUCUGACUCAAAGAUAUUUCUA